AAAUUGAAGAGUUUGAUCAUGGCUCAGAUUGAACGCUGGCGGCAGGCCUAACACAUGCAAGUCGAACGGUAACAGGAAGCAGCUUGCUGAUUCGCUGACGAGUGGCGGACGGGUGAGUAAUGUCUGGGAAACUGCCUGAUGGAGGGGGAUAACUACUGGAAACGGUAGCUAAUACCGCAUAAUGUCGCAAGACCAAAGAGGGGGAC
RNAcentral lists this ribosomal RNA (206 nucleotides) under Escherichia coli. Its description in RNAcentral is "partial 16S ribosomal RNA". It matches the Rfam family "Bacterial small subunit ribosomal RNA", at positions 1 to 214 of the family's 1533-position model. Lineage: Bacteria; Pseudomonadati; Pseudomonadota; Gammaproteobacteria; Enterobacterales; Enterobacteriaceae. The record is from RNAcentral.